CCUACGGGGGGCAGCAGUCGAGAAUCAUUCACAAUGGGGGAAACCCUGAUGGUGCGACGCCGCGUGGGGGAAUGAAGGUCUUCGGAUUGUAAACCCCUGUCAUGUGGGAGCAAAUUAAAAAGAUAGUACCACAAGAGGAAGAGACGGCUAACUCUGUGCCAGCAGCCGCGGUAAUACAGAGGGCUCAAGCGUUGUUCGGAAUCACUGGGCGUAAAGCGUGCGUAGGCUGUUUCGUAAGUCGUGUGUGAAAGGCGCGGGCUCAACCCGCGGACGGCACAUGAUACUGCGAGACUAGAGUAAGGGAGGGGGAACCGGAAUUCUCGGUGUAGCAGUGAAAUGCGUAGAUAUCGAGAGGAACACUCGUGGCGAAGGCGGGUUCCUGGACAUUAACUGACGCUGAGGCACGAAGGCCAGGGGAGCGAAAGGGAUUAGAUACCCUAGUAGUC
RNAcentral lists this ribosomal RNA (446 nucleotides) under uncultured bacterium. RNAcentral's name for it is "partial 16S ribosomal RNA". It matches the Rfam family "Bacterial small subunit ribosomal RNA", at positions 338 to 795 of the family's 1533-position model. The record is from RNAcentral.